This 389-nucleotide unclassified non-coding RNA is filed under the name Hevea brasiliensis (rubber tree). The record is from RNAcentral. Lineage: Eukaryota; Viridiplantae; Streptophyta; Magnoliopsida; Malpighiales; Euphorbiaceae.
GUGACAGUGCCACUAAGGGUGGGAUAACUCCUUCUUGGAGAGCCAUUAUACAAUAUUUAUUAGAGGAUGAGCAGACCCGUAAUAGUGCAGCUGCUGCAUUCUCUUUUCCUCUGGCUGAACCCAAUUCAAUAGCCUCGACCAACACAGGGAUCCCACCCAUCCUUCCAAUUUCAACCUUUCCCUCCUGAAUUGUAGCAAGAUUUGCUAGAACAGCAACUGUCUUGUCAACCAUUGCAACUGAUGGAUCCAUCAACUCUACGAGAUGCUUAACAGCUCCAGCUUGUACAAUCUUGACCUUGUUCUCUGGAAGCAUAGACAGAUAAAACAAUGCAGUUGUUGCAUCUUUCCUUCCCCUAGGAGUCCCAUUACCUAGUAGUUCAACCAGAGGC